GACGAACGCUGGCGGCGUGCUUAACACAUGCAAGUCGAACGGAAAGGCCCUGCUUGCAGGGUGCUCGAGUGGCGAACGGGUGAGUAACACGUGGGUGAUCUGCCCCUUACUUUGGGAUAAGCCUGGGAAACUGGGUCUAAUACUGGAUAGGACCAUGCUGUAGGUGGUGUGGUGGAAAGAUUAGUUUCGGUAAGGGAUGAGCUCGCGGCCUAUCAGCUUGUUGGUGGGGUAAUGGCCUACCAAGGCGUCGACGGGUAGCCGGCCUGAGAGGGUGGACGGCCACAUUGGGACUGAGAUACGGCCCAGACUCCUACGGGAGGCAGCAGUGGUGAAUAUUGCACAAUGGGCGCAAGCCUGAUGCAGCGACGCCGCGUGGGGGAUGACGGCCUUCGGGUUGUAAACUCCUUUCAGCCAUGACGAAGCCCUUGUGGUGACGGUAGUGGUAGAAGAAGCACCGGCUAACUACGUG
Molecule: ribosomal RNA, 469 nt
Filed under: uncultured bacterium
Lineage: Bacteria
Description: partial 16S ribosomal RNA
Rfam family: Bacterial small subunit ribosomal RNA
Source: RNAcentral